This 428-nucleotide ribosomal RNA is filed under the name uncultured prokaryote. RNAcentral describes it as "bacterial SSU rRNA". It matches the Rfam family "Bacterial small subunit ribosomal RNA", at positions 355 to 774 of the family's 1533-position model. The record is from RNAcentral.
UGAGGAAUUUUGCGCAAUGGGAGCAAUCCUGACGCAGCAACGCCGCGUGGGUGAUGAAGGCCUUCGGGUCGUAAAGCCCUGUCAGGUGGGAAGAAUGUCCCGGGACUGAACAGGUUCCGGGAGUGACGGUACCACCAGAGGAAGCACCGGCUAACUCCGUGCCAGCAGCCGCGGUAAUACGGAGGGUGCAAGCGUUAUUCGGAAUUACUGGGCGUAAAGCGCGUGUAGGCGGUCCUGCAAGUCUGAUGUGAAAGCCCCGGGCUUAACCCGUGUAGUGCAUUGGAAACUGUGGGACUUGAGUACUGGAGGGGAUGGGGGAAUUCCCGGUGUAGAGGUGAAAUUCGUAGAGAUCGGGAGGAAUAUCAGUGGCGAAGGCGCCCAUCUGGACGGUAACUGACGCUGAGACGCGAAAGCGUGGGGAGCAAACA